Gossypium raimondii (Peruvian cotton) is the source of this 4405-nucleotide long non-coding RNA. RefSeq lists it as uncharacterized. The transcript is spliced from 6 exons. Lineage: Eukaryota; Viridiplantae; Streptophyta; Magnoliopsida; Malvales; Malvaceae. The record is from RefSeq and is a predicted model, not a curated record.
CCAAACAGUUGGAUACCAAUAGUCUGCUUCUUUCAAAUCAACCGUCCCAGCCAUGUAUGAUAGCAGGUUUCCAAAAAAAUAAAUGAUUCUUAUCUGCUACCUUUUGUUUCAGAAACUUUUCACUUCUCCUUUCCCUCAAUCCGGAAGCUUUGGCCGGAGCUUUUCCAGUGCGUGACGAACCGAUUCUGGGAUUCCCCCAUCAGGUAUCUGUGAUGCAAGGAUUUCCCCCUCCUCGUUCCAUACGAUUAAACCUGUAGCCGAUCUGGACGAUUGACGGUCAAAAGCUGCGUCAAAAUAAACUGUGACCCUUCCCCUUCUGUAUACCUGUUGAAUAUUACCAAUAGAAUAAAGAAUUAACCAAAGUCCACAGCAAAAGAGCCGGAUUUGCUCAUUAGUCCCUUGAGCGAUGACCAAGGGCAUUGAACUUCCACCACAACCCGCUUGAGUUUGAGAUUGACAAGGGACGAGAUGAAAUUCCACGAGAUCCUUCAUACUGUAAUUUGAAUUUUUGAAGGGAUGUAUAAUUUCCAUAGUUUUCUAUAGAAAUUUUUAGUUUCGGCAUGUAAUAUAAAAAUAUUAGGAUCCAAACUAGGCUCAUGUAAUAAUUUAUAGGCACUCCUAACGGAAAACUCCCCUGUCGGCUCCCUUCUCCAUACUUGAAAAUCUUCAAGUGCUGUCUCUGCUAGUGGGAUCUGCAAGAUUUUUUCCGCUACAUCCAUUCUAAAGAUAUUUGAUCACCCCUCCCCACCCUCCAGCAUAGUCCUUUUCUAGAAGCCCUUUCGUAGCCUAGACACUCUUCCAGGAAAACGAAGAAUUUGGCUAUUAUUCCCUCCAAUUCAGCACAAAGAGUCUUAGGAAGUAUAAAACAAACCAUCGAGUAAGUUGGGAUAGCUUGGAGUAUAGAUUUAAAAAAAACUUCCUUCCCUCAUUGGGAGAGAUAUCUUAUACUCCAAUUGUCAAUUUGUUGUUUAAAUCUGUCCUUCAAAUUUUGAAAAGACGAUCUCUUUCUUUUUCCCACCAUACUAGCCCUAGAUAUCGUUCUGGAUUAGAUGCUCUUUUAACUCCAAGUAUUUGUGAAACUACAACCCUUUCCCCUUUUUAUGUAUUUGUACUGAAGAAAAUAGUCAAUUUGUCGUAAUUAACACAUUGGCUUGAACUCAUCUCAUACUCUUUCAAUAUCUGUUUUAAUGAUUGUACUCCUCUUUAAGUAGCUUCUGCAAAUAAAAUGCAAUCACCUGCAAAGAGUAAAUAAGAGAUAGUUGGCCCACUUCGAUUAGCUUUAACUCUUUUAAGAAUGUUUCCUGCUCUUGCAAGCCUCAUUAGACUCGAAAGUCCUUCCCCACAAAAUAAAAAUAAAAACAGACUUAAAGGAUCCCCUUGUCUAAGACCUCUAGACGGAAGGAAAGUUUGUCUUAUGUUUCCAUUGAAAUUCACAGAAUAUGAUACUGUAGAGACGUAUUUCAUUAAUGAAUCAACCCAUCCUGGGUCGAAUCCCAUUUUUUUCAUUACCUCCUUCACAAAAUUCUAUUCAACCCUAUCAUAUGUCUUACUCAUGUAUAGUAUGACAGCCAUAAGCCUUUUUUUCCCUAUCUUCUUGUAUUUUAAAGCAUGUAAAAUUUCAUAAGCUAGUAACACAUUAUCAGAAAUCAACCUUCCUGGAACAAAAGUACUUUGUGCUGAAUCAAUACAUUUAUGAAUCACUACCCGAAGGCGAUUAGCAAUGACUUUACCUAUCAGUUUAUAAAUCACAUUGCAUAAACUAAUUGGCCUAAAUUGAGUAAUAUUGGAAGGAUUCAAAAUUUUUGGGAUUAGCACAAUAUUUGUUUGGUUAACCGAACGUAAUUCCAUACCUUCGUUUAAUCCUUGAAGGCAAAAAGUAUAGAAAUCAUCCUCAAUGAUUGGCCAACAUUUUUGAUAAAAUAUAGCUGGAAAACCAUCCUCUCCUGGUGCUUUUGUAGGUCCCAUUUUUUAUAGAGCUUCCUGUAUCUCCUCCUUAGUAUAUCUUGCCAUUAAUUUAUUAUUGUCUUCCUCAGAAACGCACCUGUCAAAUUCUAAAAAGCUUUUCUCAUAGUUAUCUUGCCUUCCUGUUGAAAAUAACUUCAUAAAAUACGAUCUGGCAAUUUCCUCCAUCUCCUUAAUCUCUUCUGUCUCCCUGCCAUCUUCAAACUGCAUCUUGUGGAUUAGAUUCUGCUUUCUUUUUUGUGUCGUUUGCUUAUGAAAAACUGUUGUAUUUUUGUCUCCAAGUUUCAACCAAUUUAUUCGGGCCUUCUGUUCCCAAUAGCAUUCAUCCUUUUCAAUCUCAAAAUUCAGAUGGAUCUUUAUAUCAAUAAUCUCUGCCAAAUUCUCAUCACUUCUGUCAGAUUCCAGUAGCAUUGUCAACUUUGAAGUUAAAACCUCUGUUUUCAUUUUUCUACUCCGUCGAAUCUAGCUUUCCUAACUUUCUAAACCUCUUUUUAAAUUUUCCAGCUUGUUCAGAAAAUAUCCUGUAGAAUUUUCCCAAAAACACCUAAUUUCUUCAAAAAAUGUUUCCUCCAAAACCCACCAAGCUUCGAACUUAAAAUUCUUUUUAACCAUCCUUCUAGCUCUAUAAUCUAUAUUAAUAAGAAGUGGACAAUGAUCUGAAAAUAAAUGUGGAAUGUGCUAAAUUAAGGAAUUUGGGAAUAAAGAACUCCAUUCUUCCGUAGCUACUUCCCUAUCUAACCUUUCCUGUAUAUUUGUUUCUGGCAAAUUUUCUCUCUCCCAAGUAAACCAAUUACCUGAAUAACCCACAUCCACCGGACUACAAUCUUCUAGCACCUUUCGAAAAGCUUCCAUCCUUCUUUCCUCUCUAGGUAAUCCAUGUUUCUUCUCAAAAUCAUAUAAGAUUUCAUUCAAAUCUCCACAAACCAGCCAUGGAUACUCUCCAUGAUUACAUAAUCGUCUCAACAGAUUCCAUGAUUCCUCCAUAUCAUGUGAGUAAGGAGAACCAUAAAAACUAUAAAUCUCCACUUCUUGCUAUCUCCUACAUCAUCAAUAAUCACAUCAAUGUGACGAUUUGAGAAACUUUGUAGCAUUAUAUUAACAUUCCCUCGCCAUGCUAAACUUAGUCCACCUUUAGAACCAAUCGAAUCAACAUCAAUUCCAAACUGAAAACCAUAACUUUUUCUAACUUUUUCCAUUUGCUUUCUGUUAAUUUUUGUCUUCAUAAAAAAGACCACUUGGGGAUAAUGUAACUUCAGUGAGUGCCAAAGUCUCCGAACUGUCUGAGGAUUACCCAAACCUCGAACGUUCCAACUUAAGAUUUUUAUUGCGACCGGUCGGCUUGCCUCUUGGCAGUCGCCGAUAAUAAAUGAGUAACUUCAGACAUUCUCCUGUUUCUACCUCCUAUAUUACUGUUUUCUUCAAAGUCCCCUCUAGCUCUCUUUUUCCCUUCCUCCCCUAUAACCACCUCAUUCUCCAGAUCAUGAUCCAUAGUCGUUUGAAUUUGAUCAAGUAAUAUUUUAUCCUUCUCUAAUCGUAAGGGAUCCGUUUUUCCUUCCAGGUUGAACCCUAAAACAGGGUCAAUAUCUUUAUCACAUUCAAUUCUUUUGACACCUCCCUCUCCACUAUUUCCUCUAGAAUCAUCACUUCUAUUGUUUUUACCGACUAUUCCUCCUUCUUCCCUUAACCAAACACUACUCAUUGAUUGGGCUCUUCUUGACUAUGCACGCAAAGAUAAAUCCCAACACAUCUCAGUAAUUUCUACACCUGCCUCCAUCUUAGCUUCACAAAAGGAAUCACUAUAACCUAAAAGGUCAAUCUUUCGUACUUAAAUUUGACAUAAGAUCAUUUGCUUCUAAACAUGACUUAUUUCUUCCUUUUAAGAGAGUGACGAAUAUCAAUUUGAACUCUUAUUCGCAUAAAAUUCCUAUUCUCUUUCCCCAAGCUUGAGCCAUCAUACUCUUGAAAAAUUCCGAUAAAAUUUCCCAAUUGCAUAGGCAAAUUUUCAAAAUAAUAACCAAUGGGAACAUCAUGAACUUAUACCCAGAAAGGUGUUAAGAUUAACAGAACUCUUAAUGGAUCCUCCCCCCAUUGUAACUUGUGCAAAAUCAAAAGAUGAUUAUUGAAUGUCUAGGGUGACCCUUUAAAACUCUUUUCAUAUCUAUAAUAUGAAAAAUUUUAAAUAAAUACUUUUUUUCCCCAGAUCGCUAAUUUGAACACCCCUAACAGGAUGCAAUAAAUUAGCCAUGGUGCAUUUCAUUGCUGGGUAGUGAAUAAUACUGGCUGUAAGAAAACAUCCAACCAGACUAAGAGCUUCUUAUUCCCUUACCAAAUCUUAAUCAACUUGUACUCGCAGGAUUGCUUCUUCUUCUUCGUCAAGGGUUAGACCAGCAAAAUCUGAUUCCAUGGAUGCAGGAAGAAAAACCAAAAAAAAAAAAACAAAGAA